GGGGCUGUAGCUCAGCUGGGAGAGCACCUGCUUUGCAAGCAGGGGGUCGUCGGUUCGAUCCCGUCCAGCUCCA
Transfer RNA from Nitratireductor pacificus pht-3B, 73 nucleotides. It matches the Rfam family "tRNA". Rfam says of the family: Transfer RNA (tRNA) molecules are approximately 80 nucleotides in length. NCBI's taxonomy places the organism in Bacteria, Pseudomonadati, Pseudomonadota, Alphaproteobacteria, Hyphomicrobiales, Phyllobacteriaceae. The record is from Rfam.